Long non-coding RNA from Bombus huntii, 1283 nucleotides. RefSeq lists it as uncharacterized. Lineage: Eukaryota; Metazoa; Arthropoda; Insecta; Hymenoptera; Apidae. The record is from RefSeq and is a predicted model, not a curated record. The transcript is spliced from 3 exons.
UUUUGACGAAAACUAUCGCUACUUCUUUCCCGUUGGAGAUAUUUCGACGUUUAAGCGCUCAUUUCUCUCCAUUUUACACGGCAAAUGUAAUGCACACUGGUUUCAGCGUCGAAACAAGCAGAACAGCUCGCAAAUCGCGAUGAUUUCGUCGAUUUUGACGAAAAUUAGUCGCUACUUCUUUCCCGUUGGAGAUAUUUCGGCGUUUAAGCGCUCGUUGAACUCCAUUUUAUACUGCAAAUGCAAUGCACUACCGUUUAAGCCUCGAAACAAGCAAAAUAGCUCGCAAAUCGCAAAGAUUUCGUCGAUUUUGACGAAAACUAACUGUCAUUUCCUUCCCGUUGGAGAUAUUUCGACGUUUAAACGCUCGUUGAACUCCAUUUUACACUGCAAAUGCAAUGCACUACCGCUUAAGCGUCGAAACAAGCAAAAUAGCUCGCAAAUCGCGAAGAUUUCGUCGAUUUCGAUGAAAUCUAGCUGUCAUUUCCUUCCCGUUGGAGAUAUCUUGAAGAUUAAGCGCUCUUUGAACACUAUUUUACACUGCAAAUGCAAUGCACUACCGUUUAAGCGUCGAAACAAGCAAAAUAGCACGCAAAUCGCGAAGAUUUCGUCGAUUUCGAUGAAAUCUAGCCGUCAUUUCCUUCCCGUUGGAGAUAUUUCGACGUUUAAGAGCUCGUUGAACUACAUUUUACACUGCAAAUGCAAUGCACUAUCGUUUAAGCGUCGAAACAAGCCCAACAGCUCGCAAAUCGCAAUGAUUUUGUUGAUUUUGACGAAAACUAGUCGACAUUCCCUUCCCGUUGGAGGUAUUUCGACAUUUAAGAGCUCAUUUCACUCCAUUUGACACGACAAAGAUAAUGCACUCCGGUUUCAGCGUCGAAACAAGCCCAACAGCCGGAAAAUCGCGAUGAUUUCGUCGAUUUUGACGAAAACUAGCCGUCAUUUCCCUCCCGUUGGAGAUAUUUCGACCUUUAAGCGGACAUUUCGCUCCAUUUUACACGACAAAUACAAUACCCACAGGUUUCAGCGUCGAGACAAGUCCAACAGCUCGCAAAUCGCGAUGACUUCGUCGAUUUUGACGAAAACUAUCGCUACUUCUUUCCCGUUGGAGAUAUUUCGACGUUUAAGCGCUCAUUUCUCUCCAUUUUACACGGCAAAUGUAAUGCACACUGGUUUCAGCGUCGAAACAAGCAGAACAGCUCGCAAAUCGCGAUGAUUUCGUCGAUUUUGACGAAAAGUAACUGUCUUUUCCUUCCCUUUGUAGAUAUUUCGACGUUUGAGCGUUC